This 1182-nucleotide long non-coding RNA is filed under the name Sus scrofa (pig). RNAcentral describes it as "lncRNA (ENSSSCG00025073248.1)". Lineage: Eukaryota; Metazoa; Chordata; Mammalia; Artiodactyla; Suidae. The record is from RNAcentral.
AUGAGCACAAGCAGCCUCUCACCCCUGGGAGGCCCCCACGGGCCCCGCUGCCAUCCCCAGGCGAGGCCACGCUUCCUCCUUCAGGUCUCUGGGCGGGUCACCUCCCCAUGGAAGCUGCCAGAAGCCUCAGACCGCAGGCCCCUGCCCACACCAGCCAGGAGCCCGCCCGGGCACGGCCCAGCCCUUGUCCGCGCUAGCCACAGAUGGAUGGCCUGGCAGCAGCCCCUUCUACAGCAAGAAUCCUCACUGAGAGCCUCCUUCCCCCGACCCCGCGAGAUGUCACUACCUACUUCCACUCCGUGUCAGCCGCACGCAAGCACAGACACACAAACCAUGUGUGUGUGCCCGUGUGUCCGUCUGCAGGAUGCGUGUGCACAUGUGAACUCACGAGUGCGCCCGAGGCCGUGCUGUGCCUCGUGCACCCGUCGCACACGUGUGGAUACGAGCGCUGGGGGAGAGCCGGCAGAGGAGGCUGAGCACUUCUCCGUGGUCCCUGUACCUCUCUGCCUGGAGGCCUGGUUCUGUCUCAUUCUCGUUUCCCAGGAGGCCUCUCUGGGCCCCUUCCUGGCUGGCCUCAGGGCAUCCAAGUCGGGUGGUGUCUGCGCCGGCCCCUGCGUCCUGGGAGCGGCCAAGGCUGCUAGAAUGUGCUCUCCCCCAGCCUCUGCAGGCUUCUAGUCACACAAGGCGCCGGAGGCCAGCCUGCCUCUUUUUCCUUUGUCAGCAUCUGCUUUCUCAAUAAAGUUUUGAAAACCUCUUCUUUCCCCAUGGGGUGUAGGAGUUUUAUCGGGCUGGGCCUGGGUGGGCCUGUCCUGGCUUCCCACGCCCGGGAUCCCCCUUCGGCUCAGAAGGUGUUUGGUCAUCUGUCCCACAGUCCUGGUCACACUCACCACCUGUCACCUGCCCCCUCUGGGUCUCUACCCUCGGCCGAGGUCCAAGCCUCGCAUCUCCUCCUGGUGCCUGGCAUCCUGGCGCUUUCCCUCUGUGGUGAGGUGGUCCUUCUGCCUGCACGUCCAGGUGUUCAUCAAUGGUGGCCUCUCCCUCCGGUCACUGGCUGACAUUUUUCUAGUUCGGCUGCAAGGAUUCCUUUGCGUGUGUGUGCGUAUGUGUGUGUGUGUGCACAUCUCUGUUGGUUUUCUCUGUGGCGUGUGGGGGCCAGGUGUUCGCACUGCCUCCUCUGGCAGC